UGGCGCCUGUUUUCUGUUACUGGCCAGAUCUGAUUCUAGGAGGGAAGGCUGGACGCGGCUUAACUUCCCCCUAGCUGGUGUCUGGUGGAGACGCCCCCAGCACCGUCUGGGUCUCCGGACCAUCCGGGUCUUCGGACCGUCUGGGUUGGGCUUGAUCACCCCAACCAUUUGUUCUACGUUCAGUGCUCUGUGUGCCCUGUUAAACGUUUCCUGUUAGCCUAUCAUUAUCUCUGGUGUGACCCACUCUUUAACCUCCGUCAUGGGUCAGUCUUUGUCCGAGCCUUGCUCCCCCUUAAAUGCAUGCUAAAUAACUUCUCUGGUUUCAGAAAAAGAGGAAGGAACUAUGGCUGUAACCUAAAGCCAUCCUGGCUGCGGACAUAUUGCCAACUGGACUGGCUGACAUUCUCUGGGGUUGACUGGCCCCCAGAGGGCUCCUAGAAUCUUAACCUUGCUUAUGCUGUCCGUAGGAUUUGUCAUGAUGUUCAUCCCCACCAGGAGCCAUAUGCUGUGACUUGGGUCGACCUCCUAGAAGACCCACUGUUCUGGCUGAGAGAGUGCCAGAAACAGGGCCAAAAGCUGUCAUCUGGCAUCUCCCUUUCCCACUCCCCUUCCUGUUCUCCAAACUCCAAACCCUUGCUUCCCAUCACUCAGCCUUCAAAGAGGCUUUACCCGGUGCUUCAGGAGAUACCCAAGGGAGGGACUUGUUAUCUGAUCCUUAGAGACCACCUCCUUAUCCCCAGACUCCACUAGCUCCCCAGGAACCAAAAGCCGCAGGUGACCCUUUGACUAGCCCCCCACACACCAGAUCAGGAGCCCUCGGUAGAGGAUCAGGAGCCCUCUGUAGAGGAGAACACCAGUCUUCUGAUGCCCCAGUUCCCAUCCUUCCUCUUAGGCAAAUGGCUCCGGCUCCCGGUCCAGACGGGCAGCCAACACACCCGAAGCUUGUCUACACUCCUUUCUCCACCACGGACCUCUGUAACUGGAAAACUCAGAACCCGCCUUUCUCUGAAAACCCCCAGGGCCUAAUUGACUUAUUGAGCUCCAUUUUCACCACUCACUUACCUACUUGGGAAGACUGUCACCAACUCUUGCAGGUCUUACCGACUUCCGAGGAAAGGGCCCGAGUGCCCCGGGAAGCCACGAGAGCGGUCCUCGGCCCGGAUGGAGUGCCUCCCACAGACCUUCGCAGAAUUGAGCACGUUUUCCCUUCCGCACCGCCCCAGUGGGACCCUAACACGGAUAACGUCCUUGCAGGCUCUACAAAGUACACUUCCAGCCAUCCAUAACCUAGUAAAAGAAAGCUGGAAAGAACCGCCCUCUACAGUGGAACCAUCAGACCAAGGACUCGGACCUGGAGAUUGGAUCUGGGUGCAACGUCACACCUCCCCAAAUUUAGAGGCACGCUGGGUUGGGCCCUAUCCGAUCAUCCUGUCCACCCCAUCCGCUGUGACAGUUGCUGGCCGGAGCCACAGGAUGCAUCGCUCUCAAAUUAAAGCGGCACACCCUGACCACGUUCCUCUACAAUGGACUGUCAAACGGACUGAAAAUCCUUUGGAGGUCCGGCUGGUAAGAGAAUCUGCUGGGUAAUUUUGUUCUUAAUUUCCCUGGCUGGAGGGACAUUUUCUGACCACGCCCCUGUCCAGUACCGUUGGAUAGUUAGCAAAACCACUACGGGACAGGUUUUAGCAAAUUCUACCUCUUACGCUUCCCCUGCCUUGACCUUUAAUCUGUGUCUUCUGUUCCCCAUUGAGUGGAAAUAACAACCAUGAUAUCAAGGUGCUACCGGAGUUUUGCCUUACCAGAGAACCCCAGACUGCCUAAGUUUCAAAGGAGUACAGUUUUAUGCUUGUCCCUCUGAUACGCCCCCUGGCUGUCAAGGACGAGGCCAGUUUCACUGUGCCUCAUGGGGUUGUGAAACCAUAGCUGACUGGGUUACUGAAAAGGAUCAGUAUACUGUCUAUAAGAGCAGUAUCUAUGACCAAGAGCCAAUGCCUAGUCACUGUCAUCAUUAGAAAUGGUUUAGAUCCCCGAUGGAAUAGGGGGAGAACAUGGGGAUUGAGAUUAUACGUUUCUGGUCUUGAUCCUGGCACUGAGUUUACCAUUCAGAGGUUUAGAGUCACCCCUAGAGCACCCAUUGGGCCCAAUCCUGUAAUUAACCCUCUCCCUGACCCUGGAAAACUGCCCCCCCAGGCCUCUAGCCCGGUCAUCAGCUAAGUCUACGACCCGUUCACCCACCACUACUGCCCUUAUGUUGACUCCUUCCCCCGCUAGGAACAAACCUGAAGUAAGAGAGACAGAUACCUUUAAAGCCUUGUACUAUACCUUUAAGUUUUUAAAUGCCACCAACCCUAACAUCACUUGGGAUUGUUGGCUAUGUUUGAAUCCUAGGCCCCCCUACUACAUAGGAAUAGGUGCUCCGGUCCCUUUGAGAACGAGGGAAGACCAAAUCAGGAAUUUGAGCCAUGGCCAGAUAGAGGGUCAUUGUACCUGGGGGCAGAACCCAAGUCUCACCUUAGGAGAUCUAGAAGGAAUGGGGACUUGUUUCUAUGCUGGAAAUUACCAGAUAAAACGGUCCAGGUAUUUGGCUUAUUGUAACAGUACCAUCUACUUGCCAAAUAAUACUUAUGUGGGGGGUACCCUUUACUUCCUUGUACCGCCCUCUGGGACUUGGUUCGCUUGCUCCUUGGAUUUAGCCCCUUGUUUAAACCCCCACCUUAUAAUCAAGAGGUCUGAUUUCUGCAUUCUGGCCCACCUCCUACCCCAGGUCUUCUACUUUUCAGGUGAAGGAGGAAAAGAACACCUAGGUUUCAUUCCCCAGUCUCGAUUUCUGAGGGAACCCAUUUCUCCUAUCCUAGUGCCCCUCUUUGUAGGACUGGGGGUUGCAGGAUCCAUUGGCGUAAGUACUGCCACUUUUAUCACAGGGGAUCAGAACUUCAAAUUAAUAAGCAAACAAAUUGAUCAGGAUAUAUCAGAAUUAGAAAGGAAUAUUGAUAAACUGUCUGAAUCUGUAAACUCUUUAGCAGAGGUGGUACUUCAGAAUCGGAGGGGCUUAGACCUGUUAUUUUUACAAGGAGGGCUUUGUAUGGCCCUUGGGGAACAGUGCUGUUUUUAUGUCAAUAAUUCAGGAAUCAUCAAGUAGACCUUGAGUCAGGUCAGACAACGAUUAGAGGAAAGAGAAAGAGAAAGACAAAUAAAUCAAAACUGGUAUGAGUCUAUAUUUUCCUGGUCCCCUUGGCUAACAACUCUCCUAAGUGCCCUUGCAGGACCCCUUAUCUUUCUCUUUCUAGCUGUAACUAUAGGACCCUGUUUGAUAAAACUACUACUUCAGUUCAUAAAUCGAAAAAUAGGAUCUAUAAAGCUUAUGGUAUUAUGUAGCCCAUACGUCCCACCAGCUCAUAUGCCAGAAUAAGGUUAUUCAAAGGUUUGAAUAAUUAACAAACAGGAGUGGGGAAUGUAAUAGGUCAACUUAUAUCAGAAAGCUUAUUGUAUAGAAGUUCGGCUUAAACUCCCCUUUCAUGAAUAAUUGAGAUAAAAGCUUAUGUAGUUCCCUAUUAGGGUUAUUGGAAAUUACUAACCGCCCUAUCUUGCUUCUGUAACUUCUCCUGCUUGCUAAAUAGAUAACUUAGGUUGCAAAACGCUCCCCCCACCCCUUCUACCAAGAUCUAGCCUAGUCGAGACCAACAUGUAAAAAGUCAGAACUCACUGCCCCAUGGUAUUGGUUGUUUUAAAAUCCGUUAGGACAAAGAACUUUAAAUUGAUAGGUUCCCAUCAAGACUAAUGUCUGUGUGUCACAGUAUGAUUGGCUACCAUGAAAUGCUGUAAAUUGUAAUUGGUUAACUAAAUAAUGACGUACUCUGACUUGCUAAAAUCCAUAUAAGCUCACUGCUACCUUUGUUUGGGGGCUGUUCUCUGCACUUUUCUCCUUAAGCUCAGGAGAUCAGGUUUGGCCCAGCCGUGAAUAAAAUCUUGCCUUGCUUCUA
This is a long non-coding RNA of Herpailurus yagouaroundi (jaguarundi), 3980 nucleotides long. RefSeq lists it as uncharacterized. The transcript has 2 exons. NCBI's taxonomy places the organism in Eukaryota, Metazoa, Chordata, Mammalia, Carnivora, Felidae. The record is from RefSeq and is a predicted model, not a curated record.